UGGGGUGUAGCUUAGUGGUAGAGUGCUUGCCUAGCAUGUACAAGGUCCUGGGUUCAAUUCCCAGCAACACAC
RNAcentral lists this transfer RNA (72 nucleotides) under Fukomys damarensis (Damara mole-rat). It matches the Rfam family "tRNA". Rfam says of the family: Transfer RNA (tRNA) molecules are approximately 80 nucleotides in length. Their secondary structure includes four short double-helical elements and three loops (D, anti-codon, and T loops). The record is from Rfam by way of RNAcentral. Lineage: Eukaryota; Metazoa; Chordata; Mammalia; Rodentia; Bathyergidae.